Molecule: ribosomal RNA, 2904 nt
Filed under: Escherichia coli
Lineage: Bacteria; Pseudomonadati; Pseudomonadota; Gammaproteobacteria; Enterobacterales; Enterobacteriaceae
Description: 23S ribosomal RNA
Rfam family: Bacterial large subunit ribosomal RNA
Source: RNAcentral
GGUUAAGCGACUAAGCGUACACGGUGGAUGCCCUGGCAGUCAGAGGCGAUGAAGGACGUGCUAAUCUGCGAUAAGCGUCGGUAAGGUGAUAUGAACCGUUAUAACCGGCGAUUUCCGAAUGGGGAAACCCAGUGUGAUUCGUCACACUAUCAUUAACUGAAUCCAUAGGUUAAUGAGGCGAACCGGGGGAACUGAAACAUCUAAGUACCCCGAGGAAAAGAAAUCAACCGAGAUUCCCCCAGUAGCGGCGAGCGAACGGGGAGGAGCCCAGAGCCUGAAUCAGUGUGUGUGUUAGUGGAAGCGUCUGGAAAGGCGCGCGAUACAGGGUGACAGCCCCGUACACAAAAAUGCACAUGCUGUGAGCUCGAUGAGUAGGGCGGGACACGUGGUAUCCUGUCUGAAUAUGGGGGGACCAUCCUCCAAGGCUAAAUACUCCUGACUGACCGAUAGUGAACCAGUACCGUGAGGGAAAGGCGAAAAGAACCCCGGCGAGGGGAGUGAAAAAGAACCUGAAACCGUGUACGUACAAGCAGUGGGAGCACAGAGCAAUCUGUGUGACUGCGUACCUUUUGUAUAAUGGGUCAGCGACUUAUAUUCUGUAGCAAGGUUAACCGAAUAGGGGAGCCGAAGGGAAACCGAGUCUUAACUGGGCGUUAAGUUGCAGGGUAUAGACCCGAAACCCGGUGAUCUAGCCAUGGGCAGGUUGAAGGUUGGGUAACACUAACUGGAGGACCGAACCGACUAAUGUUGAAAAAUUAGCGGAUGACUUGUGGCUGGGGGUGAAAGGCCAAUCAAACCGGGAGAUAGCUGGUUCUCCCCGAAAGCUAUUUAGGUAGCGCCUCGUGAAUUCAUCUCCGGGGGUAGAGCACUGUUUCGGCAAGGGGGUCAUCCCGACUUACCAACCCGAUGCAAACUGCGAAUACCGGAGAAUGUUAUCACGGGAGACACACGGCGGGUGCUAACGUCCGUCGUGAAGAGGGAAACAACCCAGACCGCCAGCUAAGGUCCCAAAGUCAUGGUUAAGUGGGAAACGAUGUGGGAAGGCCCAGACAGCCAGGAUGUUGGCUUAGAAGCAGCCAUCAUUUAAAGAAAGCGUAAUAGCUCACUGGUCGAGUCGGCCUGCGCGGAAGAUGUAACGGGGCUAAACCAUGCACCGAAGCUGCGGCAGCGACACUGUGUGUUGUUGGGUAGGGGAGCGUUCUGUAAGCCUGUGAAGGUGUGCUGUGAGGCAUGCUGGAGGUAUCAGAAGUGCGAAUGCUGACAUAAGUAACGAUAAAGCGGGUGAAAAGCCCGCUCGCCGGAAGACCAAGGGUUCCUGUCCAACGUUAAUCGGGGCAGGGUGAGUCGACCCCUAAGGCGAGGCCGAAAGGCGUAGUCGAUGGGAAACAGGUUAAUAUUCCUGUACUUGGUGUUACUGCGAAGGGGGGACGGAGAAGGCUAUGUUGGCCGGGCGACGGUUGUCCCGGUUUAAGCGUGUAGGCUGGUUUUCCAGGCAAAUCCGGAAAAUCAAGGCUGAGGCGUGAUGACGAGCACUACGGUGCUGAAGCAACAAAUGCCCUGCUUCCAGGAAAAGCCUCUAAGCAUCAGGUAACAUCAAAUCGUACCCCAAACCGACACAGGUGGUCAGGUAGAGAAUACCAAGGCGCUUGAGAGAACUCGGGUGAAGGAACUAGGCAAAAUGGUGCCGUAACUUCGGGAGAAGGCACGCUGAUAUGUAGGUGAAGUCCCUCGCGGAUGGAGCUGAAAUCAGUCGAAGAUACCAGCUGGCUGCAACUGUUUAUUAAAAACACAGCACUGUGCAAACACGAAAGUGGACGUAUACGGUGUGACGCCUGCCCGGUGCCGGAAGGUUAAUUGAUGGGGUCAGCGCAAGCGAAGCUCUUGAUCGAAGCCCCGGUAAACGGCGGCCGUAACUAUAACGGUCCUAAGGUAGCGAAAUUCCUUGUCGGGUAAGUUCCGACCUGCACGAAUGGCGUAAUGAUGGCCAGGCUGUCUCCACCCGAGACUCAGUGAAAUUGAACUCGCUGUGAAGAUGCAGUGUACCCGCGGCAAGACGGAAAGACCCCGUGAACCUUUACUAUAGCUUGACACUGAACAUUGAGCCUUGAUGUGUAGGAUAGGUGGGAGGCUUUGAAGUGUGGACGCCAGUCUGCAUGGAGCCGACCUUGAAAUACCACCCUUUAAUGUUUGAUGUUCUAACGUGGACCCGUGAUCCGGGUUGCGGACAGUGUCUGGUGGGUAGUUUGACUGGGGCGGUCUCCUCCUAAAGAGUAACGGAGGAGCACGAAGGUUGGCUAAUCCUGGUCGGACAUCAGGAGGUUAGUGCAAUGGCAUAAGCCAGCUUGACUGCGAGCGUGACGGCGCGAGCAGGUGCGAAAGCAGGUCAUAGUGAUCCGGUGGUUCUGAAUGGAAGGGCCAUCGCUCAACGGAUAAAAGGUACUCCGGGGAUAACAGGCUGAUACCGCCCAAGAGUUCAUAUCGACGGCGGUGUUUGGCACCUCGAUGUCGGCUCAUCACAUCCUGGGGCUGAAGUAGGUCCCAAGGGUAUGGCUGUUCGCCAUUUAAAGUGGUACGCGAGCUGGGUUUAGAACGUCGUGAGACAGUUCGGUCCCUAUCUGCCGUGGGCGCUGGAGAACUGAGGGGGGCUGCUCCUAGUACGAGAGGACCGGAGUGGACGCAUCACUGGUGUUCGGGUUGUCAUGCCAAUGGCACUGCCCGGUAGCUAAAUGCGGAAGAGAUAAGUGCUGAAAGCAUCUAAGCACGAAACUUGCCCCGAGAUGAGUUCUCCCUGACCCUUUAAGGGUCCUGAAGGAACGUUGAAGACGACGACGUUGAUAGGCCGGGUGUGUAAGCGCAGCGAUGCGUUGAGCUAACCGGUACUAAUGAACCGUGAGGCUUAACCUU